ACACUGCUGACGAGUCCCAAACAAGAUGAAACAACUGUCCAGUGC
Molecule: non-coding RNA, 45 nt
Filed under: Echinostoma caproni
Lineage: Eukaryota; Metazoa; Platyhelminthes; Trematoda; Plagiorchiida; Echinostomatidae
Source: RNAcentral